Molecule: ribosomal RNA, 460 nt
Filed under: uncultured bacterium
Lineage: Bacteria
Description: partial 16S ribosomal RNA
Rfam family: Bacterial small subunit ribosomal RNA
Source: RNAcentral
CCUACGGGGGGCAGCAGUGAGGAAUAUUGGUCAAUGGGCGCGAGACUGAACCAGCCAAGCAGCGUGAAGGAUGACUGCUCUAUGGGUUGUAAACUUCUUUUAUAAAGGAAUAAAGUGAGGCACGCGUGCCUGUUUGAAAGUACCUUAUGAAUAAGGAUCGGCUAACUCCGUGCCAGCAGCCGCGGUAAUACGGAGGAUCCGAGCGUUAUCCGGAUUUAUUGGGUUUAAAGGGAGCGUAGAUGGGUGGUUAAGUUAGUGGUGAAAGUUUGCGGCUCAACCGUGAAAUUGCAAUUGAUACUGUUAGCCUUGAGUACAGUUGAGGUAGGCGGAAUGCGUGGUGUAGCGGUGAAAUGCUUAGAUAUCACGCAGAACUCCGAUUGCGAAGGCAGCCUACUAAACUGCCUCUGACAUUGAGGCUCGAAAGUGUGGGUAUCAAACAGGAUUAGAUACCCCGGUAGUC